This 593-nucleotide ribosomal RNA is filed under the name Thelephora terrestris. Its description in RNAcentral is "eukaryotic LSU rRNA". The stretch from base 180 to 334 matches the Rfam family "5.8S ribosomal RNA". Lineage: Eukaryota; Fungi; Basidiomycota; Agaricomycetes; Thelephorales; Thelephoraceae. The record is from RNAcentral.
GUUGCUGGCCCUCAUAGGGGGCAUGUGCACGCUCUGUUUACACAUCCACUCACACCUGUGCACCCUCUGUAGUUCUAUGGUCUGGGGGACCCUGUCUUCCUUCUGUGGUUCUACGUCUUUACACACACACUGUAAUAAAGUUUUAUGGAAUGUACAUCGCGUCUAACGCAAUACAAUACAACUUUCAGCAACGGAUCUCUUGGCUCUCGCAUCGAUGAAGAACGCAGCGAAAUGCGAUAAGUAAUGUGAAUUGCAGAAUUCAGUGAAUCAUCGAAUCUUUGAACGCACCUUGCGCCCCUUGGCUAUUCCGAGGGGCAUGCCUGUUUGAGUAUCAUGAACACCUCAACUCUCAUGGUUUGCCAUGAUGAGUUGGACUCUGGGGGUUUUGCUGGCCUGUGGUCGGCUCCUCUCAAAUUAAUCAGCCUCCCAGUGUUUGGUGGCAUCACGGGUGUGAUAAAUAUCUACGCUCGCUGUUGUCUGCCAGGUAACCUUUGGUCACAAAGGUUUGCUGGAGCUCACAGAUGUCUCUCCUCAGCGAGGACAGCUUUUUUAACGUUCGAUCUCAAAUCAGGUAGGACUACCCGCUGAACUUA